CAUUAAUCUCAGCUUCAGAACAGUUUCACAUUUUACAUCUUCACCUGAACAGAAAUUCAUGAUGACCAAGAAAUUACUUGUCCUGUUGAUGUGCCUGACUGGACUAUGUUCCACCAUUUCUGUGACUAAAGAACAUGAUAUAAAGAAGCGGUCUUCGAGUAAUGAGGUUAACAUGGGUUUUGGAGGAUUCUACCCACAGUACCCCCAAUUCUAUCCCCAGCCUCCCCAGGUUGACCUGAUGGCCCUGCUGCCCUUACUGAUGGCAAGACAAAAUGCUGUUGCUGCACCGGUUCCUGUCCUACCUGCCUUUCCAGCAAUACCUCCCCUACCUGCCAUACCACCUCUAC
This is a long non-coding RNA of Esox lucius (northern pike), 347 nucleotides long. RefSeq lists it as uncharacterized. NCBI's taxonomy places the organism in Eukaryota, Metazoa, Chordata, Actinopteri, Esociformes, Esocidae. The transcript has 4 exons. The record is from RefSeq and is a predicted model, not a curated record.